This 100-nucleotide ribosomal RNA is filed under the name uncultured bacterium. RNAcentral describes it as "partial 16S ribosomal RNA". The record is from RNAcentral.
CACACCGCCCGUCACAUCACGAAAGUGGGUUGUACUAGAAGUCAGCGGCCUGACCCGAAAGGGGAGGAGCGGCCCAAGGUAAUGACUCAUGAUUGGGGUG